GAAGUAAAAGUCGUAACAAGGUCUCCGUAGGUGAACCUGCGGAGGGAUCAUUACACAAUAACAAGGCGGGCUGGACACCCCCAGCCGGGCACUGCUUCACGGCGUGCGCGGCUGGGCCGGCCCUGCUGAAUUAUUCACCCGUGUCUUUUGCGUACUUCUUGUUUCCUGGGUGGGCUCGCCCGCCAUCAGGACCAACCACAAACCUUUUGCAAUAGCAAUCAGCGUCAGUAACAACGUAAUUAAUUACAACUUUCAACAACGGAUCUCUUGGUUCUGGCAUCGAUGAAGAACGCAGCGAAAUGCGAUACGUAGUGUGAAUUGCAGAAUUCAGUGAAUCAUCGAAUCUUUGAACGCACAUUGCGCCCUUUGGUAUUCCAAAGGGCAUGCCUGUUCGAGCGUCAUUUGUACCCUCAAGCUUUGCUUGGUGUUGGGCGUCUUUUGUCUCCAGUUCGCUGGAGACUCGCCUUAAAGUCAUUGGCAGCCGGCCUACUGGUUUCGGAGCGCAGCACAAGUCGCGCUCUUUGCCAGCCAAGGUCAGCGUCCAGCAAGCCUUUUUUUUCAACCUUUGACCUCGGAUCAGGUAGGGAUACCCGCUGAACUUAAGCAUAUCAAUAAGCGGAGGA
Molecule: unclassified non-coding RNA, 623 nt
Filed under: Alternaria infectoria
Lineage: Eukaryota; Fungi; Ascomycota; Dothideomycetes; Pleosporales; Pleosporaceae
Description: sequence contains 18S rRNA gene, ITS1, 5.8S rRNA gene, ITS2, 28S rRNA gene
Rfam family: 5.8S ribosomal RNA (bases 248-401)
Source: RNAcentral